This 486-nucleotide ribosomal RNA is filed under the name uncultured bacterium. RNAcentral describes it as "bacterial SSU rRNA". It matches the Rfam family "Bacterial small subunit ribosomal RNA", at positions 43 to 519 of the family's 1533-position model. The record is from RNAcentral.
CAGGCCUAACACAUGCAAGUCGAACGGUAGCACAGAGAGCUUGCUCUCGGGUGACGAGUGGCGGACGGGUGAGUAAUUUCUGGGAAACUGCCCGAUGGAGGGGGAUAACUACUGGAAACGGUAGCUAAUACCGCAUAACGUUCGCAAGACCAAAGUGGGGGACCUUCGGGCCGCACACCAUCGGAUGUGCCCAGAUGGGAUAAGCGAGAAGUUGGGUAAAUGGCGCACCGAGGCGACGAACCUGAGCUGGAUUGAGAGGAUGACCAGCCACACUGGAACGGAGACACGGACCAGACACUGACGGGAGGCAGCAGGGGGGAAGAUUGCACAAGGGGCGCAGCCCUGAUGCAGCCCUAGCCGCGUGGAGGAAGAAGGCCUACGGGUUAAAAAGGACUUACAGCGGGGAGAAAGGCGUGGAAGUAAGAACAGCACCGAGUGACGGGACCCGCAGAAGAAGCACCGGCGAACACCGUGCCAGCAGCCGCG